This is a long non-coding RNA of Mus caroli (Ryukyu mouse), 1206 nucleotides long. RefSeq lists it as uncharacterized. Lineage: Eukaryota; Metazoa; Chordata; Mammalia; Rodentia; Muridae. The record is from RefSeq and is a predicted model, not a curated record.
AAACUGUCACGCCUUAACUCACAGCAAUUUGAGAAGCGGAGCCCGGAACCAGAUCUAGCUGGGUUUCAACUACAGGUGUCCCUGGAGUGGGAAGUGUCUACUGUGACUUGUUCAUGUCAAGCCAGAUCCUGAUGUUAGAAAGAGAUCCCAGAAUGCUAACAAGUUGAGAAUUCUUGGGUUUCCAACUUGAUGUGAAACAAGCACUCCUCUGAAACUGUGUUCAACACGUAGAGCUGGAGCACCAAAAUCAGUGGUCUUGAGUCACAAAUCUCCUGGGCUUUGGAAGACAUCGAUGACCCAGCAGCAUGCCUUAGGAGUGGUGGCAUGGUGGGGAGCUCAGGAGCCCAGGGCUUCUGACCUUUGGAGCCUGCCUGUUGAGGGUGCUAAUUCUCCUACUGCUCACCCCUCCUACUUGAUCCUUCAGCUCUUCACUUUUGGUUCUGAAUUGACUUCAGACUUACUCUGCUGUUUUGGCAGACUGAUCUUUCAAAGACUGAAGGGAAGAAGCACAGUCUUUGUAUGUCUCUGAAGCUUAUUGUUUGCAAGCUAAUUCCACGUGUGUUUUCCCUCGCAUGUAACCCUCACACCAAGCCCAAGGUGUAUCAUCAUUACACCGGUUUCACAGAUUAAAUAGUUGGUACUGGGGAGCAAAGGAAACAAGCAACCUUGGAAACUACACGAUGCUGUUUUACAAUUUUGUCUUUUGCUUGGGAAGUCACUGUUUCUUUGUCAGAACUAAAUGAAAAAAGCCCAGUAGCCUGCCAUUGAAACAGUGCAGAAUUUCUGCAUUUCAUUUGGCUUAUAGAAGAGGAUGUGAAAUGGAAGGGAGUGUAGCUAUACUCAUUUGUACAAUGGAAAACGCACUUAAAAGGACUUCUUUUCAUUGAUCACGUAAAUCAGCCAUGCUAUUGUGAUGCCUAGAGUUGGUUAAUUGGUCAAUGGCUCAGAGGAUAAAUAAAACUCCAGAAGCCUCUUCAUUAGAUUUGGGCAGAGAGAUAGCUUUUUCAAAGUCCAAUUUGCCUUUAGUAUUUAUUUCCUUCAUUAUAAAAAGCAAGGAAUGGAGCUAGUUAUGUAACGUCCCGAAGAGAACUGCAGACAAAGAUGGAUCAGCCUUUUGGCUACCCCAUUAGGGCAGAAGGCACAGGUCAGAGUCAAAGCAGGGACAGUUGAGCAUGUUCUUGGAGCCAUGUGAGGGUACCACCAAAU